GACGAACGCUGGCGGCGUGCCUAACACAUGCAAGUCGAACGAGGUCCAUCCUUCGGGAGAAGACCUAGUGGCGAACGGGUGAGUAACACGUGAAGAACCUGCCCCGAAGACCGGGAUAACCCUCCGAAAGGAGAGCUAAUACCGGAUACCCCCACCGAACCGCAUGGUUUGGUGAGGAAAUGGAUUCCGCUUCGGGAGGGCUUCGCGGCCUAUCAGCUAGUUGGUGGGGUAACGGCCCACCAAGGCAUCGACGGGUAGCUGGUCUGAGAGGACGAUCAGCCACACUGGGACUGAGACACGGCCCAGACUCCUACGGGAGGCAGCAGUGGGGAAUCUUGGCGACAAGUGGGCAAAGCCUGACGCAGCAA
This 368-nucleotide ribosomal RNA is filed under the name uncultured bacterium. RNAcentral describes it as "bacterial SSU rRNA". It matches the Rfam family "Bacterial small subunit ribosomal RNA", at positions 28 to 394 of the family's 1533-position model. The record is from RNAcentral.